RNAcentral lists this ribosomal RNA (709 nucleotides) under Cryptococcus sp. AspA8.1. Its description in RNAcentral is "eukaryotic LSU rRNA". The stretch from base 160 to 313 matches the Rfam family "5.8S ribosomal RNA". The record is from RNAcentral. Lineage: Eukaryota; Fungi; Basidiomycota; Tremellomycetes; Tremellales; Cryptococcaceae.
GAACCUGCGGAAGGAUCAUUAAUGAAUUUAGAUUGAACCAUAGGCGAAAGCCAGUGGUUCUUCUUUCAUAUCCAUAACACCUGUGCACUGUUGGAUGCUUGCAUCCACUUUUAAACUAAACAUUAUUGUAACAAAUGUAGUCUUAUUAUAACAUAAUAAAACUUUCAACAACGGAUCUCUUGGCUCUCGCAUCGAUGAAGAACGCAGCGAAAUGCGAUAAGUAAUGUGAAUUGCAGAAUUCAGUGAAUCAUCGAAUCUUUGAACGCACCUUGCGCUCCUUGGUAUUCCGAGGAGCAUGCCUGUUUGAGUGUCAUGAAACCCUCAAACCCAAGUUUUGGAUUUCGAUCCAUGCUUGAGUUUGGAUUUGGAUGUUUGCCGGUGAUGAACCGACUCAUCUUAAAAGUAUUAGCUUGGAUCUGUCUAUAUGACUGGUUUGACUUGGCAUAAUAAGUAUUUUGCUGAGGACAUCUUCGGAUGGCCAGGACCUAGACUAAUGUCUGCUAACUAAACCAUCACUUUAAGUGCAUCUUUGGAUGUUACUCAUUGUGUAACUUUGACAUCUGGCCUCAAAUCAAGUAGGACUACCCGCUGAACUUAAGCAUAUCAAUAAGCGGAGGAAAAGAAACUAACAAGGAUUCCCCUAGUAACGGCGAGUGAAGCGGGAAGAGCUCAAAUUUGAAAUCUGGUGGCCUCAGGUCAUCCGAGUUGU